GGGUUUGUAGCUCAGUUGGUUAGAGCGCCUCGUUUACACCGAGGAGGUCACAGGUUCGACUCCUGUCAAACCCACCA
This is a transfer RNA of 77 nucleotides. It matches the Rfam family "tRNA". From Rfam's summary of the family: Transfer RNA (tRNA) molecules are approximately 80 nucleotides in length. Their secondary structure includes four short double-helical elements and three loops (D, anti-codon, and T loops). Further hydrogen bonds mediate the characteristic L-shaped molecular structure. tRNAs have two regions of fundamental functional importance: the anti-codon, which is responsible for specific mRNA codon recognition, and the 3' end, to which the tRNAs corresponding amino acid is attached (by aminoacyl-tRNA synthetases). tRNAs cope with the degeneracy of the genetic code in two manners: having more than one tRNA (with a specific anti-codon) for a particular amino acid; and 'wobble' base-pairing, i.e. permitting non-standard base-pairing at the 3rd anti-codon position.